RNAcentral lists this ribosomal RNA (515 nucleotides) under Pichia occidentalis. RNAcentral describes it as "partial large subunit ribosomal RNA". It matches the Rfam family "Eukaryotic large subunit ribosomal RNA", at positions 113 to 655 of the family's 3401-position model. The record is from RNAcentral. Lineage: Eukaryota; Fungi; Ascomycota; Pichiomycetes; Pichiales; Pichiaceae.
AUUUGAAAUCGUGUUUCGGCACGAGUUGUAGAUUGCAGGUUGGAGUCUUUGUGGAAGCGUGUGUCUAAGUCCCUUGGAACAGGGUGCCAUUGAGGGUGAGAGCCCCGUGAGACGCGUGCGGAAGCUGUAAGGCCCUUCUGACGAGUCGAGUUGUUUGGGAAUGCAGCUCUAAGUGGGUGGUAAAUUCCAUCUAAGGCUAAAUAUUGGCGAGAGACCGAUAGCGAACAAGUACUGUGAAGGAAAGAUGAAAAGCACUUUGAAAAGAGAGUGAAACAGCACGUGAAAUUGUUGAAAGGGAAGGGUAUUGGGCUCGACAUGGGAUUUGCGCACCGCUGCUCCUUGUGGGCGGCGCUCUGUGCUUUUCCUGGGCCAGCAUCGGUUUUUGCCGCAGGAGAAGGCGUGCUGGAAUGUGGCUCUUCGGAGUGUUAUAGCCAGUGCGAGAUGCUGCGUGCGGGGACCGAGGACUGCGACAUCUGUCUCGGAUGCUGGCACAACGGCGCAAUACCGCCCGUCUU